RNAcentral lists this non-coding RNA (45 nucleotides) under Schistosoma margrebowiei. Lineage: Eukaryota; Metazoa; Platyhelminthes; Trematoda; Strigeidida; Schistosomatidae. The record is from RNAcentral.
AUCCAACUGAUGAAUCCUAAAUAGGAUGAAAUAUGCCUCCUGGAU